GAUGAACGCUGGCGGCGUGCCUAAUACAUGCAAGUCGAGCGAACAGACGAGGAGCUUGCUCCUCUGACGUUAGCGGCGGACGGGCGAGUAACACGUGGAUAACCUACCUAUAAGACUGGGAUAACUUCGGGAAACCGGAGCUAAUACCGGAUAAUAUAUUGAACCGCAUGGUUCAAUAGUGAAAGACGGUUUUGCUGUCACUUAUAGAUGGAUCCGCGCCGCAUUAGCUAGUUGGUAAGGUAACGGCUUACCAAGGCAACGAUGCGUAGCCGACCUGAGAGGGUGAUCGGCCACACUGGAACUGAGACACGGUCCAGACUCCUACGGGAGGCAGCAGUAGGGAAUCUUCCGCAAUGGGCGAAAGCUUGACGGAGCAACGCCGCGUGAGUGAUGAAGGUCUUAGGAUCGUAAAACUCUGUUAUUAGGGAAGAACAAAUGUGUAAGUAACUAUGCACGUCUUGACGGUACCUAAUCAGAAAGCCACGGCUAACUACGUG
This 497-nucleotide ribosomal RNA is filed under the name uncultured bacterium. RNAcentral describes it as "partial 16S ribosomal RNA". It matches the Rfam family "Bacterial small subunit ribosomal RNA", at positions 28 to 507 of the family's 1533-position model. The record is from RNAcentral.